GGGGAACCUGCCCUUCUCUCUGGGAUAACGUCGAGAAAUCGGCGCUAAUACCGGAUACUCCUUGCGGACCGCAUGGUCCGCUCGGGAAAGCUCCGGCGGAGAGGGAUGGCCCCGCGGCCCAUUAGCUAGUUGGUGAGGUAACGGCCCACCAAGGCGACGAUGGGUAGCCGAGCUGAGAGGCUGAUCGGCCACACUGGGACUGAGACACGGCCCAGACUCCUACGGGAGGCAGCAGUGGGGAAUCUUGCGCAAUGGGCGAAAGCCUGACGCAGCAACGCCGCGUGCGGGAUGAAGGCCCUCGGGUCGUAAACCGCUUUCAGCAGGGAUGAAAAUGACAGUACCUGCAGAAGAAGCCCCGGCUAAAUACGUGCCAGCAGCCGCGGUAAUACGUAUGGGGCAAGCGUUAUCCGGAUUUAUUGGGCGUAAAGCGCGCGUAGGCGGCUUGUUAAGUCAGGUGUGAAAUCCGGGGGCUCAACCCGCGGCUUGCAUCUGAAACUGGCAGGCUUGAGUCUGGUAGAGGAAAGUGGAAUUCCUGGUGUAGCGGUGAAAUGCGCAGAUAUCAGGAGGAACACCAGUGGCGAAGGCGGCUUUCUGGGCCACGACUGACGCUGAGGCGCGAAAGCUAGGGGAGCGAACA
RNAcentral lists this ribosomal RNA (637 nucleotides) under actinobacterium enrichment culture clone SC18B5-40. Its description in RNAcentral is "bacterial SSU rRNA". It matches the Rfam family "Bacterial small subunit ribosomal RNA", at positions 119 to 774 of the family's 1533-position model. Lineage: Bacteria; Bacillati; Actinomycetota; Actinomycetes. The record is from RNAcentral.